Molecule: ribosomal RNA, 118 nt
Filed under: Phaeophyscia hispidula
Lineage: Eukaryota; Fungi; Ascomycota; Lecanoromycetes; Caliciales; Physciaceae
Description: partial 28S ribosomal RNA
Rfam family: Eukaryotic large subunit ribosomal RNA
Source: RNAcentral
UUGACCUCGGAUCAGGUAGGGAUACCCGCUGAACUUAAGCAUAUCAAUAAGCGGAGGAAAAGAAACCAACAGGGAUUGCCUCAGUAACGGCGAGUGAAGCGGCAACAGCUCAAAUUGA